RNAcentral lists this small RNA (583 nucleotides) under Pan troglodytes (chimpanzee). RNAcentral's name for it is "retained intron". The record is from RNAcentral. Lineage: Eukaryota; Metazoa; Chordata; Mammalia; Primates; Hominidae.
ACUGAGCGAGCCGCCAGACUAUGACCCCAGGGGCUCUGCUGAUGCUGCUGGGGGCGCUGGGGGCGCCGCUCGCCCCAGGCGUCCGCGGCUCGGAGGCGGAGGGUCGACUCCGGGAGAAACUUUUCUCUGGCUAUGAUAGCUCCGUGCGGCCAGCGCGGGAGGUGGGAGACCGUGUCAGGGUCAGCGUUGGUCUCAUCCUGGCGCAACUCAUCAGCCUGGUGAGGGCGCGCGGGGGGUGGAGGUCAGGCCAGCCGACCGGCCGGGGGCGUGGCUUUAGGCAAGGCCGGACCGGGGACAGGCUGGGGGCGGGGCCUGGGACGAGACCAGGCUGAGAUGGACCAGCCUUUGGUGAAGAUUGGAUCGAAAUCAGACCAGUGGACAAGCUCUGGCCGUGGGUGGUGGACGGGCCUGGAGUAGAACCGGGUAGGGUGAAGGACGGACCUGUGAUCGGACCUUAAAGUGGAGCUGGGGACGAGGCAGGGGCUGGGGGACGGACCUCGAGGUAGGGCCACAUGAGUCCUGAGUGCCCAGGGUGGGGCGGAGCUUGGUGCUCAGGGGUCAAUAAAUGGCAGCGGGUGGAGGU